AGCGGCGGAAGGGUGCGUAACACGUGGGUAAUUUGCCUGAGGGUUCAAAAUAACUUCGAGAAAUCGAAGCUAAUAGUGGAUGCUUGAUCGGCAACGAUCAAAAAGCUGGGGAUCGCAAGACCCAGCGCCUUCAGAUAAGCCCGCGGCCUAUCAGCUAGUUGGUGAGGUAAUGGCUCACCAAGGCAACGACGGGUAGCUGGUCUGAGAGGACGACCAGCCACACUGGAACUGAGACACGGUCCAGACACCUACGGGUGGCAGCAGUCGAGAAUUUUUCACAAUGGGCGAAAGCCUGAUGGAGCGACGCCGCGUGGGGGACGAAGGGCUUCGGCUCGUAAACCCCUGUCAUCUGCGAACAAGUUUGGCGCCGGAUAAUGGUGUCAAUUGAUAGUACCAGAAGAGGAAGGGACGGCUAACUUUGUGCCAGCAGCCGCGGUAAUACAGAGGUCCCGAGCGUUGUUCGGAUUUACUGGGCGUAAAGGGUGCGUAGGCGGUUGGCAAAGUUUGGUGUGAAAUUCUGUGGCUCAANUACAGGAGUGCAUUGGAAACUUGCUGACUAGAGUACUGGAGGGGGGACUGGAAUUCUCGGUGUAGCAGUGAAAUGCGUAGAUAUCGAGAGGAACGCCAGUGGCGAAAGCGAGUCCCUAGACAGUUACUGACGCUGAGGCACGAAAGCUAGGGUAGCAAACAGGAUUAGAUACCCUGGUAGUCCUAGCUGUAAACGGUGCACGCUUGC
This 736-nucleotide ribosomal RNA is filed under the name uncultured bacterium. Its description in RNAcentral is "bacterial SSU rRNA". It matches the Rfam family "Bacterial small subunit ribosomal RNA", at positions 94 to 820 of the family's 1533-position model. The record is from RNAcentral.